This 198-nucleotide ribosomal RNA is filed under the name uncultured bacterium. RNAcentral describes it as "partial 16S ribosomal RNA". It matches the Rfam family "Bacterial small subunit ribosomal RNA", at positions 326 to 539 of the family's 1533-position model. The record is from RNAcentral.
ACGCUCGACACCUACGGUAGGCAGCAGUGGGGAAUAUUGCACAAUGGGGGAAACCCUGAUGCAGCGACGCCGCGUGAGCGAAGAAGUAUCUCGGUAUGUAAAGCUCUAUCAGCAGGGAAGAAGAUGACGGUACCUGACUAAGAAGCACCGGCUAAAUACGUGCCAGCAGCCGCGGUAAUCUGAGCGGGCUGGCAAGGC